GCAUCGGUGGUUCAGUGGUAGAAUGCUCGCCUACCACGCGGGCGGCCCGGGUUCGAUCCCCGGCCGAUGCA
Molecule: transfer RNA, 71 nt
Filed under: Heliconius melpomene (postman butterfly)
Lineage: Eukaryota; Metazoa; Arthropoda; Insecta; Lepidoptera; Nymphalidae
Description: tRNA HMEL007762
Rfam family: tRNA
About the family: Transfer RNA (tRNA) molecules are approximately 80 nucleotides in length. Their secondary structure includes four short double-helical elements and three loops (D, anti-codon, and T loops). Further hydrogen bonds mediate the characteristic L-shaped molecular structure. tRNAs have two regions of fundamental functional importance: the anti-codon, which is responsible for specific mRNA codon recognition, and the 3' end, to which the tRNAs corresponding amino acid is attached (by aminoacyl-tRNA synthetases). tRNAs cope with the degeneracy of the genetic code in two manners: having more than one tRNA (with a specific anti-codon) for a particular amino acid; and 'wobble' base-pairing, i.e. permitting non-standard base-pairing at the 3rd anti-codon position.
Source: RNAcentral